GAUGAACGCUGGCGGCGUGCCUAAUACAUGCAAGUCGAGCGAACGGACGAGAAGCUUGCUUCUCUGAUGUUAGCGGCGGACGGGUGAGUAACACGUGGAUAACCUACCUAUAAGACUGGGAUAACUUCGGGAAACCGGAGCUAAUACCGGAUAAUAUUUUGAACCGCAUGGUUCAAAAGUGAAAGACGGUCUUGCUGUCACUUAUAGAUGGAUCCGCGCUGCAUUAGCUAGUUGGUAAGGUAACGGCUUACCAAGGCAACGAUGCAUAGCCGACCUGAGAGGGUGAUCGGCCACACUGGAACUGAGACGCGGUCCAGACUCCUACGGGAGGCAGCAGUAGGGAAUCUUCCGCAAUGGGCGAAAGCCUGACGGAGCAACGCCGCGUGAGUGAUGAAGGUCUUCGGAUCGUAAAACUCUGUUAUUAGGGAAGAACAUAUGUGUAAGUAACUGUGCACAUCUUGACGGUACCUAAUCAGAAAGCCACGGCUAACUACGUGCCAGCAGCCGCGGUAAUACGUAGGUGGCAAGCGUUAUCCGGAAUUAUUGGGCGUAAAGCGCGCGUAGGCGGUUUUUUAAGUCUGAUGUGAAAGCCCACGGCUCAACCGUGGAGGGUCAUUGGAAACUGGAAAACUUGAGUGCAGAAGAGGAAAGUGGAAUUCCAUGUGUAGCGGUGAAAUGCGCAGAGAUAUGGAGGAGCACCAGUGGCGAAGGCGACUUUCUGGUCUGUAACUGACGCUGAUGUGCGAAAGCGUGGGGAUCAAACAGGAUUAGAUACCCUGGUAGUCCACGCCGUAAACGAUGAGUGCUAAGUGUUAGGGGGUUUCCGCCCCUUAGUGCUGCAGCUAACGCAUUAAGCACUCCGCCUGGGGAGUACGACCGCAAGGUUGAAACUCAAAGGAAUUGACGGGGACCCGCACAAGCGGUGGAGCAUGUGGUUUAAUUCGAAGCAACGCGAAGAACCUUACCAAAUCUUGACAUCCUUUGACAACUCUAGAGAUAGAGCCUUCCCCUUCGGGGGACAAAGUGACAGGUGGUGCAUGGUUGUCGUCAGCUCGUGUCGUGAGAUGUUGGGUUAAGUCCCGCAACGAGCGCAACCCUUAAGCUUAGUUGCCAUCAUUAAGUUGGGCACUCUAAGUUGACUGCCGGUGACAAACCGGAGGAAGGUGGGGAUGACGUCAAAUCAUCAUGCCCCUUAUGAUUUGGGCUACACACGUGCUACAAUGGACAAUACAAAGGGCAGCGAAACCGCGAGGUCAAGCAAAUCCCAUAAAGUUGUUCUCAGUUCGGAUUGUAGUCUGCAACUCGACUACAUGAAGCUGGAAUCGCUAGUAAUCGUAGAUCAGCAUGCUACGGUGAAUACGUUCCCGGGUCU
This 1372-nucleotide ribosomal RNA is filed under the name uncultured bacterium. Its description in RNAcentral is "bacterial SSU rRNA". It matches the Rfam family "Bacterial small subunit ribosomal RNA", at positions 28 to 1381 of the family's 1533-position model. The record is from RNAcentral.